UACGUAGGGGGCGAGCGUUAUCCGGAUUCAUUGGGCGUAAAGCGCGCGCAGGCGGCGCGCCAAGCGGAGCUUCUAAUCCCCGGGCUCAACCCGGGGCCGGGCUCCGAACUGGCGCGCUCGAGUGAGGUAGGGGAGGUCGGAAUUCCCGGUGUAGCGGUGGAAUGCGCAGAUAUCGGGAAGAACACCGAUGGCGAAGGCAGGCCUCUGGGCCUCCACUGACGCUGAGGCGCGAAAGCUGGGGGAGCGAA
Molecule: ribosomal RNA, 248 nt
Filed under: uncultured Enterorhabdus sp.
Lineage: Bacteria; Bacillati; Actinomycetota; Coriobacteriia; Eggerthellales; Eggerthellaceae
Description: partial 16S ribosomal RNA
Rfam family: Bacterial small subunit ribosomal RNA
Source: RNAcentral